AGCACAGAGCGCGGGAGUCCGGUACGACCGGGCUGAGAGGGCGGCUGAACGGGCCGCCGACCGCCAGACCUGAUCCGGAUCAUGCCGGCGAAGGGAGCGCGCAUGCAGAUCGU
This 113-nucleotide non-coding RNA is filed under the name Actinomadura madurae. RNAcentral describes it as "TPP sequence". It matches the Rfam family "TPP riboswitch aptamer (THI element)". From Rfam's summary of the family: Vitamin B(1) in its active form thiamin pyrophosphate (TPP) is an essential coenzyme that is synthesised by coupling of pyrimidine and thiazole moieties in bacteria. The previously detected thiamin-regulatory element, thi box was extended, resulting in a new, highly conserved RNA secondary structure, the THI element, which is widely distributed in eubacteria and also occurs in some archaea. Lineage: Bacteria; Bacillati; Actinomycetota; Actinomycetes; Streptosporangiales; Thermomonosporaceae. The record is from Rfam by way of RNAcentral.